GAUCAUGGCUCAGGAUGAACGCUAGCUACAGGCUUAACACAUGCAAGUCGGAGGGGCAGCAUGAACUUAGCUUGCUAAGUUUGAUGGCGACCGGCGCACGGGUGAGUAACACGUAUCCAACCUUCCGUUUACUCAGGGAUAGCCUUUCGAAAGAAAGAUUAAUACCUGAUAGUAUGGUGAGAUUGCAUGAUAGCACCAUUAAAGAUUUAUUGGUAAACGAGUGGGGAUGCGUU
RNAcentral lists this ribosomal RNA (233 nucleotides) under uncultured bacterium. RNAcentral describes it as "partial 16S ribosomal RNA". It matches the Rfam family "Bacterial small subunit ribosomal RNA", at positions 15 to 237 of the family's 1533-position model. The record is from RNAcentral.